AUUUCACUUAAUCCUCACUGUAUUCCUGUCGCAUUUUGCAGAAGAGAACCAGGCUGAGAGAAGUUAAGUGACGUGCCCAAGGAUACACAGCUCUCUGCAUGUGACACGCUGACUCCCCUUCUGCCAUGAUUGUAAGUUUCGUCACUAGAAGCAGAUGCCGACACUAUGCUUCAUGUACAGCCUGCAGAACUGUGAGCCAAAAUAAUAUUUAAAAAUGCGAAGAUAUUUCAAAGUACAAACAUCCAUGUACCCACCACCCAGAGUGAAUACAUAUUAACAUUAU
RNAcentral lists this long non-coding RNA (283 nucleotides) under Homo sapiens (human). RNAcentral's name for it is "HSALNT0405937". The record is from RNAcentral. Lineage: Eukaryota; Metazoa; Chordata; Mammalia; Primates; Hominidae.